Molecule: ribosomal RNA, 489 nt
Filed under: uncultured Acidobacteriota bacterium
Lineage: Bacteria; Pseudomonadati; Acidobacteriota
Description: bacterial SSU rRNA
Rfam family: Bacterial small subunit ribosomal RNA
Source: RNAcentral
AAAAAAAAGAGUUUGAUCGUGGCUCAGAAUCAACGCUGGCGGCGUGCCUCAGACAUGCGAAGUCGAACGAUUAAAGCUCCCUUCGGGGAGUGCAUAAAGUGGCGCACGGGUGAGUAACACGUAAGUAAUCUACCUUCGAGUGGGGAAUAACAGUCGGAAACGGCUGCUAAUACCGCAUAAUGCAGCGGCAUCGCAAAGAUGACAGUUGUUAAAGAUUUAUCGCUUGAAGAGGAGCUUGCGGCAGAUUAGCUAGUUGGUAAGGUAAUGGCUUACCAAGGCUACGAUCUGUAACCGGUCUAAGAGGACGGUCGGUCACACUGACACUGAAUAACGGGUCGAGACUCCUACGGGAGGGCAGCAGUCGGGAAUUUUGGGCAAUGGGGGAAACCCUGACCCAGCAACGCCGCGUGAAGGAUGAAGUAUUUCGGUAUGUAAACUUCGAAAGAAUAGGAAGAAUUAAUGACGGUACUAUUUAUAAGGUCCGGCUAA